ACAGCAGUAGCCACGGUAAUACGAAGGGGGCUAGCGUUGCUCGGAAUUACUGGGCGUAAAGGGAGCGUAGGCGGAUGAAUUAGUCAGGGGUGAAAUCCCGGGGCUCAACCUCGGAACUGCCUUUGAUACUGUUCAUCUUGAGUAUGGGAGAGGUGUGUGGAACUCCGAGUGUAGAGGUGAAAUUCGUAGAUAUUCGGAAGAACACCAGUGGCGAAGGCGACACACUGGCCCAUUACUGACGCUGAGGCUCGAAAGCGUGGGGAGCAAACAGGAUUAGAUACCCCUGUAGUCCCUGUCUCUUAUAC
This 305-nucleotide ribosomal RNA is filed under the name uncultured bacterium. RNAcentral's name for it is "partial 16S ribosomal RNA". It matches the Rfam family "Bacterial small subunit ribosomal RNA", at positions 505 to 807 of the family's 1533-position model. The record is from RNAcentral.